This 253-nucleotide long non-coding RNA is filed under the name Lathyrus oleraceus (garden pea). Its description in RNAcentral is "Pisum sativum (pea) long non-coding RNA (PSAT_LNC041942)". Lineage: Eukaryota; Viridiplantae; Streptophyta; Magnoliopsida; Fabales; Fabaceae. The record is from RNAcentral.
UCAGAUCGAAGAAGUUUCCGAUGUUCAGAUCGAUGCAACUUGUGGCAUUCAGGCCAGUUUUCCGGUAUUCAGACCGAAGUGGCAUUCAGGCCAGUUUCCCGGUGCUCAGACCGAUGUUUGAUAAUCGCGUAUCUUCCAAUGCUCAUAUCGAAGUUGUCAUACCCCAAAAUUUGCCCGUUGAUAUUACAAAGCAUUUUCCAAGACCCUCUGACUUGAUCUGCAAGGCACUGAUAUUAAAUGGACAAAAGCCCAG